AGGGGUAGAGCUCAGGGGUAGAGCUUUCGACUGCAGAUCGGGAAGUCCCCGGUUCAAACACGGGUGUCCCCU
RNAcentral lists this transfer RNA (72 nucleotides) under Trichonephila inaurata madagascariensis. It matches the Rfam family "tRNA". From Rfam's summary of the family: Transfer RNA (tRNA) molecules are approximately 80 nucleotides in length. Their secondary structure includes four short double-helical elements and three loops (D, anti-codon, and T loops). The record is from Rfam by way of RNAcentral. Lineage: Eukaryota; Metazoa; Arthropoda; Arachnida; Araneae; Nephilidae.